AUACGUAAGUCCCAAGCAUUACCCGGAAUCACUGGGUGUAAAGGGUUCGUAGGUGGAAAAAUAAGUUGGAUAUGAAAGACCGAGGCUCAACUUCGUGUUUGUAUUCAAAACUGUUUUUCUAGAAUCAGGGAGAGGUAAGCGGAAUUUUAAGUGUAGGGGUGCAAUCCGUAGAUACUUAAAAGAACACCAAAAGCGAAGGCAGCUUACUGGAACUGUAUUGACACUGAGGAACGAAAGCGUGGGUAGCGAAAAGGAUUAGAAACCCGAGUAGUCC
RNAcentral lists this ribosomal RNA (274 nucleotides) under uncultured bacterium. Its description in RNAcentral is "partial 16S ribosomal RNA". It matches the Rfam family "Bacterial small subunit ribosomal RNA", at positions 523 to 796 of the family's 1533-position model. The record is from RNAcentral.